UUAACACAUGCAAGUCGAACGAAGAGGUCUAGCUUGCUAGACUGAUUAGUCGCGAACGGGUGAGUAACAUUUAGGAAUCUACCUUAUAGAGGGGGAUAGCUCGGGGAAACUCGAAUUAAUACCGCAUACGACCUACGGGUGAAAGGGGGCGCAAGCUCUUGCUAUAAGAUCAGCCUAAACCAGAUUAUCUAGUUGGUGGGGUAAAGGCCUACCAAGGCGACGAUCUGUAGCUGGUCUGAGAGGAUGAUCAGCCACACUGGGACUGAGACACGGCCCACACUCCUACGGGACGCAGCAGUGGGGAAUAUUGGACAAUGGGCGAAAGCCUGAUCCAGCCAUGCCGCGUGUGUGAAGAAGGCCUUAUGGUUGUAAAGCACUUUAAGUGGGGAGGAAAAGCUUAUGGAUAACACGCAUAGGUUCUGACGUUACCCACAGAAUAAGCACCGGCUAACUCUGUGCCAGCAGCCGCGGUAAUACAGAGGGUGCAAGCGUUAAUCGGAAUUACUGGGCGUAAAGCGAGCGUAGGUGGUUUAUUAAGUCUGAUGUGAAAUCCCUGGGCUUAACCUAGGAACUGCAUCUGAUACUGAUAAACUAGAGUAGGUGAGAGGAAAGUAGAAUUCCAGGUGUAGCGGUGAAAUGCGUAGAGAUCUGGAGGAAUACCGAUGGCGAAGGCAGCUUUCUGGCAUCAUACUGACA
RNAcentral lists this ribosomal RNA (696 nucleotides) under Moraxella sp. EK-I36. Its description in RNAcentral is "bacterial SSU rRNA". It matches the Rfam family "Bacterial small subunit ribosomal RNA", at positions 48 to 745 of the family's 1533-position model. Lineage: Bacteria; Pseudomonadati; Pseudomonadota; Gammaproteobacteria; Moraxellales; Moraxellaceae. The record is from RNAcentral.